Molecule: ribosomal RNA, 476 nt
Filed under: uncultured bacterium
Lineage: Bacteria
Description: SSU rRNA
Rfam family: Bacterial small subunit ribosomal RNA
Source: RNAcentral
AGGACGAACGCUGGCGGCGUGCUUAACACAUGCAAGUCGAACGGUGACCUCACUUCGGUGGGUGAUCAGUGGCGAACGGGUGAGUAACACGUGGGUAACCUGCCCCUCACUCUGGGAUAACUCCGGGAAACCGGGGCUAAUACCGGAUACGAGCCUCGACCGCAUGGUCGGGGUUGGAAAGUUUUUCGGUGAGGGAUGGACCCGCGGCCUAUCAGCUUGUUGGUGGGGUAAUGGCCUACCAAGGCUUUGACGGGUAGCCGGCCUGAGAGGGCGACCGGCCACACUGGGACUGAGACACGGCCCAGACUCCUACGGGAGGCAGCAGUGGGGAAUAUUGCACAAUGGGCGAAAGCCUGAUGCAGCGACGCCGCGUGAGGGAUGACGGCCUUCGGGUUGUAAACCUCUUUCAGCAGGGACGAAGCGAAAGUGACUGUACCUGCAGAAGAAGCACCGGCUAACUACGCGCCAGCAGCCGC